This 72-nucleotide transfer RNA is filed under the name Phaeobacter sp. CECT 5382. It matches the Rfam family "tRNA". Rfam says of the family: Transfer RNA (tRNA) molecules are approximately 80 nucleotides in length. Their secondary structure includes four short double-helical elements and three loops (D, anti-codon, and T loops). Lineage: Bacteria; Pseudomonadati; Pseudomonadota; Alphaproteobacteria; Rhodobacterales; Roseobacteraceae. The record is from Rfam by way of RNAcentral.
GCGGCUGUAGCUCAGUGGUAGAGCCCCUGGUUGUGGUCCAGGUUGUCGUGGGUUCGAUCCCCAUCAGUCGCC